CAGUAAGUAGUCAAUAUAAGAAUCCAACCAGUCAAUCAAAGAAUCAGACUUAUUACGAGCUGAGAAGGAAUUUGAUGACCCAGGGGAUCUAUUAUGUUCGGUGGGAAGGUAAGCUUUGAAGGGAAUUGAUACGAAAAAGGGGUGCGAGAAUCAAUAGAAAGAAUGUCAAUACCAGAGGAUGUUGCCAAUCCGUGCGUGAUCGGAGAAGGUAGAAUUCGAAUAGAAUAGUGAAAGACUUAUUAAGUCUAUAAGAAGCAAAAGAAACAAACAGGGUGAGGGUGAAGAUUCGAUUCUCGGGCAAGGGUUGGGGAGCAGCAGGCAACCAGAAGAAACUGCUGGUAUGAAGAAACUGCUGGUAUAAAGGUGCAGAUUAAUAAUGAGCAGUUAGUCUUAUUAAAUGAGUUGAGUUGUUUCCUUACAUCAAAUGAAAAAGUUUUGGAUAUAUAUUAAUACAUACAGACUAAUAGUUUGGUUGUAGGAAGGAAGGACUCUUUCCUUAUUGAGGGAUAUUCUAAACAAAGGCAAGACAAGACCUCUUUAAAAGAAAUUGGCAAGUAGAGAUGAGUACAGCUACAGCCGCCCUAUUUUCGAAAGGUUGACUUUUAUUAACGAAUGGAUCUAUGUUUCAGUCUUUCCCUAAGGUAAUUACCGUCGUUGGGAGUUGUAGUUGGAGAGUAGGUAAGACGUUCAUCUCUAUUCCUUUUUCGUAUGCCUUUCUAAUGCCUUGGAUUCUGUCUGUCAUUCCUUUUGUAGGUAGGCCUUCAGACGUCCAUACGCUCGAAUGCAGUUCCUGUCAGUGAGAAAAAGGGGGCUUUGAAAGCGGAGUUGUUGUAGGUAUUCGAUUGGCGGUUUAUUCCUCCCUUAUCCUUGCUAGCCAGCCAGUCACAUUCCUUCUACAACAAAAGGGAGAAAGUGAGUUUUCGUAUCGGCAUUAGAAGGAAUGCAAGUAUAGUUUUGGGGAUAAGAAUCCGUAUCAAGGUAAUAAACAGAAGAAUUCGCCGGGUAUUUAUAGAAUCAUUAGCCAGGUAUUUAUGAUAGAUUUCUUAUAUUAUAUAAAGAAGUAACCAACCAGCGCGCCUCUUUUCUUCCAUUCCAUUAGUAUUGUUUGAAAUUCCAUUCUCUAUUUCCAGGGGCCAUUGGGUAAUAAAUAGUGGUACAAAGAUCGGGAGGAGGGUCUUCAUCGUCAUCAAGUAUAGUUCUAUAUUCCAGUCUCAUUCUAGAAUAAGGAUUGGAAGCCGAGGGUUAGGGUGAGGAAUCCGGAUCUUCUCCUGCACUGGUUGUAGUGCUUUAGCCGCCCGGUUACGCUCCUAGUAUAGUAGUAUUAGUUCGGAACUGCAAGUUGUGUUUGAGUUGAAUCUAUGAUUGAAUCAGAGGCGAAAGUUCGAGUUCAGGUUGCGUGCUUCGCUUUUUCCCUUGAUUUUAUUGUCGCACAAGAAAGAGAGAAUCCGCCGUGAAGCAGAAGUAGAGUUCACCUCGAGAAUUGUGGAAUUGUGACGUAACUUAGUUAGUAUAUCAAUCUGUCACUGGAGAGUACAGUACACACUCCUUUCCUUCGCUUUCAAGGGCGAGUAGAACUCCAUUCUUUGGACCACUAUCUGUAAUUCCUAACGCUGAAAACUAUACUACAGAUACAGAUAGAGCUGGGUAAGAGGAUGGAAAGUCUAGUUCUGGUAAAUAAUAUAGUACUUGCUCUGUAUUUGUUGAGUUCGCAAGUAAUGCAAGUAAUAGUCAUAUUAAUAUCUGGUAUUAUAGUGGUUAAGCGUAAGAUAUCUGGUAUUAUAGUGGUUAAGCGUAAGCAGAAGAGUUUAAAGGUAAGGGCCCUACUUAUGAUUAAUGCUCAUUGAGUAUAGAAAUGAAUUGGUAAUCAGAGUCAGUCCGUCUUGUUUCGGGAGUGAAAAGAGACUGUUCACCUUGGUUCAUUAUAAGUCUUAAUUGCGGAAUUGAUGUUUGAAUGCGAAGUUGAAGCCGAAGAGAAUCUAGCUCGAAUUGAAUGGCCACCUAGCGCUUUAGCAGUGCUUGUUAAGUCUACAACAGAAGAAUCCGUUCUUGUUAAGUCUACUUCUCGACUUGAUGAAUCGAUUACAGCUUGAAGUUCAGAAUGGGAAUAUUUCCUCUUAUCUUGCACUUAUUGCACAAGGUAGAGAAAUCUUAGUAAAGGCUAACAAAGUACUCUUCAUUCUCUAGGGCGAACAGCAGACUUUCCUUUCCGGACUUAACUAGCACAAAAAAAGAUAUUAUACACAAGGAGCUACAGCCUACUUCACUUCUCAGAUCCAGAUCUUUAUCAGAAACAGAAGAAUUCGCCGGAGGUCAUAUAGAGAAAAGUCACCAACCUAGUGGGCUUGUUUCUUCCCUUUAAGAAUGGAAUUACAGAAUGAAGAUACUUACGGCAACACCGCAUUUAGAGUGAAAGAAGAGAGUGAAAGAAGAGAGUGCCGCUCCAUAGACUAAAUCCUUUGUUGAAAAGGCGCACUAUAAUCAACGGAGCUACUUCCAUUCCUAUCUUAUACGUAGGCAAAAGAGAAAGAUUCCAUAAAAGGUGGUGGUUGACAAUAUAACUCACUGCCCCUAGUGUUCAUCUCCUCUUGCUACAGCCAAACAACAACUAAUGAACUCUCCUUAUUCUUACCUUAGAGUGAAUUUAAGACUUUCAAUUAAGAGCGCUAGGUUGGGUGCCAGCUUCCAUCUUCCCUGGAUAUUAAUGACUUAUCGGAGUAGUAGAAUGAGCUAGGUAUGAUAGUUCUAUUACUAUAUGAAGAGUCGCGGUAACUAUUAAUGACUCGGAAAGGUGAAAGUAUUGUUCCAGUCAUCAAGUCUAAAUUCGGGUGCCAGGUAGCUGGGUGUUAGAGAUGCAAAAGUCAGUAAUAGGCUCAUAAAGAAACAGGGAAAGUCGUUUAUACGAGAUCAUAAGCCAGAGCAGUAUCCAAUCAGUCAACUACAAUCGGUUCAACAAGUCCAGAGGAAUCAGUUAAAGUGCAGCUCCCGACCCGACCAGAGAGAGAAGAAAAGAAGCUUUUGCACUUGUAUAACACUUUGUAACUAGAGAGUACACUCCUUCUUCGCCCUACUAGUAAAGAAGAGAAUUGCCUGUUUAUUGUAUUUCUGCAGGAGUCGAAUAAAGAUCAUAAGCCUUAAGCCGAAGAUCAUGCCCACUACAAGGUUCAAAAGUAAGCGGGAAAGAAAUCAGUAGAUUUGGGGUCUGGUGCUUAUAUUCUUUACAAAGAGAGUCAGCACUAUAUUCUUCACAAAGAGAGUCAGCAAGGGAACUAAGUGCAUUAGCCUGCCUGGCGCACACACAAGGUGCUUCAAGCCUAUCUAGCGCACACUUGUUCGAAAUCAUUGAAUUGAAACACCUAUUACAGAUUCAUUUCAUUUAAGAAAAUCAUUGAACUUACAGACAUAUAGAAUUGAGUAAAGACACUGCUUCCCUUUCGCCAACACCAACACGAGACACUGAUUGAAUUCCGACAUUUGCAUUGAGAACAGAACUAGACUUGACAAGCACAGCUCAUUAUUGAGUAUAGUAGACUUUCCUUACACCCCCAGCAAGAGUAGAGUAUAGUAUACUUUCCUCUUUUGAUAUAGAAAACUUGACUCGUUACUAACAGCAACUCAGGUACUCAUAAUAUAUAAUAUACCUUGAACUAUUGAUGGCUGAACACAUAUAGCAAGUAGGCAAGCAACUCACUUGAAUAACGGACCUACUGGACACCCCUAAUAGAUUGAUUCGAUAGUGGAUUCGGCUUGUCUGCAAGUCUACUUUACGAGUGGAAUCCUUGUUGUCGAUUCCACAAUGUUUCUUGUCCAGAGCCCGAGUCAAUUAGUCAUUCUGAUCUUUUUGUCCCCUGACGCACAACCAACGUCUUCUCCUAUCAAGUGGAGCUAACUCCCUUAUUUGGAAGAUAUGGUUUCUCAUUAAAAGAAGAGGCCCUACGGGGUAGAGGCUAGGGAGGGAGGAAAAAGAAUCAAUAUCAAGAAGGAUUGAUUUUACAUAAAAUGAUGCUUUCGGAGGGGAGAGCGAUUUCUUAGGCAGGCGGUUAAAGAUUCACACCUACCUUUUUCACUCUACCCGACCCUCACUAACUCUCACUCUUUACUUUCAAACAGGACCUUAUAGUAAUUCGGCAGCAGACUUCAAUGGUAGUUUGCUUGGCGAAUCAAACACAAAAGUGAGAACUAAUCCACCAAUACACGAAUAUUUCUCCUAUGGAAUAAGGGCGGAGAGGCUACAUCAGAAUUUCCCUCUACAACCAGUAUAUUAGCAUAAGGCUAUGGACCAGUAUAUUAGCAUAAGGCUAUGGAUGAUAACUACGGAACCUCCAUGAAACUUUUACACCGAUGUGAAGCUGGCAACUGAAGCGCAUGGGAUAGAACCAAGGCCAGUGAAAGAAAGAAGAAGCUACUGCCCCGCCCCGACUAGUUAGAAGCAAAUACUAACUAACAAGACAGCCACAGCUGUUUUUGAAUAAGAAGAAACCCCAGCUUGAGCCCUAUUUUGAAUAAGAAGAAACCCCAGCUUUAGCCCUAAUUUCCCUAGAAAUAGAAUAAUGCCUUAUAAGAUGUAAAAUCAUAGGCGCAUCUAAUAAUAGGAAAAGAGUCAACCAAGCCUAACUCAACAGGGAGUCGAUCUUGAUACGCCCGCCCACCACUAUGCAAACUGACCUCACCAACUAUAACGAAAAUGAUACGUUUCCCCACCUUUGAGGUUUCCUCUCCUGGGACCUAAUCUGACUUUCCUAUAUAUCAUUCUCUACCUUAGAUUGCCGAGUUGCACCCUACCUACACCAACAAAGGACAAGCAGUACACGCCCUAUUCUAUGUCCCAGAGCAGACCAAGCCUCAUUGCCUCACCUUUCAAACUACCCAUCUUUGUUUUCGUCCUGUAACACUUCCUUUUUGAUCUAUCUACUCUUUUCACUAACCCAGUAUAUUAUACUGUAGCUACUAAUACCAUCAGGCUGUAGCUACUACUUUGAAUAAUGAAAGAAAACAGCCAACAGUACUAUGCCAACAAAACAGGAACUUCCAACUAGGGAUCCAAACUCUGGCACCAAGACUGCAGCUAACUACUAUUAGAGUCAAAUAAAGAAUAUAGAGGUAUGCUCCAGCGCCAUACAGGAAAGAAGCUCAAAUAAGUGCAAUCAGGAACCAACUCAGAACAAUAAGAGUAGAACUCUCGGUCUUGUAGCUCCUUGCUUUAAGUCUAGCGCUGCUUGCUAAACUCUAACUUCUCACUCUAGUCACGCAACUCCCUUAUCUAAGCCUGCCGCUACUGUAAUCAAUGCCUGGGAAGUCUAUUAAACUCUUUUAUAUCAUUCUAACUAUCCUAGUCCCAAGUCCUAUUCCCCUUGCUUUAACUCGCCAAAUCUGACUUUACUGCUUCUAGGACUCCCUACCAACAUGACUUUACUGCUUCUAGGACUGCAGUUCACCUAUUUCACUAUAACCUAUAUCCUGACUUUAGCUCUUCUGCUCCCCUCUUGGAAACUGUUCUUAUUCUUCUAGUUGUCCUGGCAUUCCUAUUAGUGUUGGCUUGGUUGGUUUACUUACAUUUCAUUAUUCUAAUCAAGAAGGUCGUGCAGCAAAGGUAGUGUCUCAUUCCCAUAGUCUUAGUUCGAAGUCUGAUCGGUGUUGUUGGCUCUAUUCCUAUGAUCGGUGUUUUUCUUCUUAUGGGAUCUACUGAUACUCUGCAUUCUAGCUGGUAUCUUUCGAAGAAACCUCAUUUAGCUAAUGAACUACCUAAGAAACUAGAAUCUAAUACCAUAUGAGAAAACAUAAGUAACCAGAAUAAUAGUCGCUGGUAGUGAAAAUAAUACCCCCAAAAGAGAGAAUGAAAGAAAGGACGGUAAGUCUAGAUCUCGAACCUAUAGGCAUUGAAGGCGGGAUCGGAAGGGGCUCAUACGAGAAUGAGAUAAAACAAGGGUAGACUAAGGGAAAGCAAGGGAAGCUAACAAAGCGCCCAGCAGAGGGAGACUCAAAGGCUGUAAAGACUGUUUAAGUGCGCCCCCAGGAUAAAGUCCUGUUUCUAUUGGGUUCAGCCCUCUUUGGUAGUAAUUUAGUACAUAAGUGGAAUAUAUCUAAUAAGGUAGUCAUCUUACUGCUCCACCUUAUUUGGAGGUUGAUUUAGGCUUUCACACCAACCAGAUUGGGAGUUUGAGACUUGAAUACCAGAUUGAGAAUUGACAAGCUACUACGCAACAAAUAACUGCUUGUGUAACGCAUUAAUGAAAUAAGUAAUAACCGCUGUAUAACGUGUUAAGGUUCAGAGCAAGUCCUUUAUUUUUCACCUAGGGAUAACACUACUUCUUCUCUAUCUUCUGAUCUAGUAUCUUCUUUUGAGUACUUUCAUCAAACUCCACCUCCCUUGAAACAAAUCAUUCUUCUUCUCAUUUAGGUAUCUUAGUAUUACGGAUUGAAUUCUGAAAUGCGCUAGACUAGAUCGUACCCUUGGCCUAUCUCCACUUUGAGUUCGGAAUGCCAUCAAGCUGCUUCUCUCGUCAAUGGAAUCCCUUGCUAUAUGGUAUAGAAUCAAGUAAAGCCGAACAGGAAUAAGCAACGAAUAAUAAGCUUAGUUGGGAGCUCAACUCAAGUAAGUAGUUCUGACUUCUCUCAUUAGAUAACAGCAUAAACGUGUUUUAUAACGUGUUAAGAACCAGUUGAUUACAAAGCAUUUCCACUCCUUGAGACUUGAUAUGGAUACCAAACAAACCUAGUGCUCCUUAUGUGGUCUACGCGGGCUAGUGUUCUAAGCGGUAUAAUACUCCUUCCUACAUUGGGUCCAAGCGGUCUAAAAGAAAAGUCAGGAUGCUAUAAGGACAUAAUCAGAAUAGACUAGGGCCUAACUCAGAAUUAAUGAAGUCAGGAUCCCCUGCCUAGGUGGGUAAGGCUAAUAAUCAGAAUAUAGCGAACGACUACUUUACUGCCUAUACCUAUAAGAACGAAACCCUAAAAGUGAGAAUCGGCUCUUAGACAGGGAAUUGAACCUCCGUGAACGAGACUUGAGUCGCUCCUAACAGGAAUGGAACUCGCCAUAGCAGGAAACCAACUACUCCACUUAUGGUAUUGGGUCCGGGAACUUGUUCUUUCACUAAUGACUUGCAUUUGAUUUACUUGUUUAUUGACUUUCGAACAGAGGAAUCAGACCUAGAUGGCCGUUUGCGAGCUACCUACAACUACAGUGAAAUAGUAUCCGCUUUAGAGCUAGGAAUAGAGGACCUAGGUUUAGGGUUUUACCUAAUAGGGAAUGCAAGAAAGCAGUUUAGCGCUACACAAACAAAACACUGUAUGUGCCAAACUCUGGAGCGGCCCUUUAGCGACCAAUUACUUAAGGGCACAUCCGAAGUAAUAACAAAUAAGAAAUCGUAUAUAUGUGGUUUCUUAUUGAAGUGGUCUUUUAGUGUCUUGGCCCAGUUGUGUUCUAGGCCUUGUCUUGUAGCUAUAGUAUGGUUGCGUAAGUCUUAGAACCAGUGUUUGAAAGCCUUAAAGGCACCAGUAUAAGCCUUAUCAGUAGUAGCACAGUUCAAUUCCUUCUUGUAAUAUAAAGAAAAAGUAUUUAAAUGCACAAUGCAGUGUUCUCUAGUUUGAAAGCGAAGAAGGGCGGGCUAACUGGUUCAAUAAGGAAUGGGUGUUCCAGGUGUAAGCCUAGAUCUCGAACUAGAGAAUCCAAUCAGUAGUUUAAGAUCCCGCAGUUACAUCCCUGAAAGCAGUAGGCUUGAAGCACCUAGUUGUGAGUUAAGAUCUUGUUUACAGUGUUUUACUUACUAGUUAGCUUAUUCGUUCUCAUCAGUAUAGGUCCAAUUCCUAUUAGCGCUAGUAGGGCUCCUAGUGGAUAUAUCAAUUAUUAUAUAGUUUUGAGGUAUUUCAAAUAAUAGAUAGGAAAGUCAGGCAUCAAGAUAGAAGUCAAAGAAUGGGAUAGAUGUAGCGCACCCAGGUAUAAGACUAUAGAGGGCAAUAGAGAAUUGACCAGUGCCUAAUAGGAUUGAAGUGGGGAGUCGUUCUGUAUGUAGUGCUACCGAUCCCGUAACUAAGUCCAUCUUUCCUAGUUAUCAAACGAAAACUCCCAUCUGUCGGCCUGUAACUCCUUCUGAAAUUACUGACCUAGUCUCUGUUGCUCCUUUAUCUUAGUCCGAGGCUCCUACCUUUCCCUUAAACGGAAAUCACUCAAAGGCAAGAUAGGUAGGUGGAAAGCAAGGUGCUGAGAGCCUACGAGAGACAGUAGAGCUAUACAAAUGGGUGGGAAGGGUAGGCUCAAACUAGAACAUAGUCGUGUCAGGUAGUAGUGACAGAGUGAGGGUCGAGCUAAAGAGUGAAAGUCAAAGGAAACAGGCUCACGGGUUAGCGCAAAGAAUCAAAGGUAUAAUAGGUAUGGGAACUUCGAGUAAAUAGCCUAUAACUAAAUGCAGGCGAGUAGGGGCAGACCGAUCGACAGGGUAGUGAAAAGAAAAAACACUAGUGAAAGACUUAAGUCAAGGCAGGACAGGGCUGCUUUGAAGUAAAGCUCCCGGCUUGGUUUUGGAUUCUGUAUUUUGAGUGUAGAGCGCAUGAGAGGUUGCCUUAUUCUAAUGAAUUCCAGAUAUCCAGUUGAAAGUAGUAGAACCAAACCAACAGAGUGACAUUAUUUCCACAUGGGAGCACAAUUCUUAUGGGUUUACCAUAUAUAAUGAAAUAGAGUUUUCAAGUGAGUGAAGUAAGACUAAUAUAUAUAGACAGGAGCUAAAGGUAGCUUUGAAGUCAGUAGUUAGUUUAGGUUCUGUUUGCCACUAGUUCCGUUAUGGGAAGAGCGACUAGGUGAAGUCUGCUACUACCAAGUUUGAUUCCGUUGAAAGCUAGUUUCGUAGCAGAUUGUUCUAUUUGCUAUUCCAAAUCCCGGGGUUUGUCAACCGGGUGGAAUUCCUACUUUUUCGUUUGAUCCCUGGGGUAAGGCAAGGCUACAUUCUUUGACUGCUGUCUUUCAUCCUUUCUAGUUCUACUGAUAUAACUAGGUUAGCUAGGCGAGAAACAAGAUAAGGCUUUGGCUGCUGUCCUUAAUUCUUUCUAUUAAAACAAAUAACUAGGUUUGUUAGGCGCUGCAGAGAACUAGUUGUGCGUCAGCUCCAAGCACUACUUACUUAACUCACUCUUAUACCUUACCUUGGCAUUCUGAUGUUGUAGCUUCCAUGCUAGCUGGAGUAUUCCCGGACUUACUUGAAAACAGCUAUUCCUUCUCGGGCAUACAGGAUAUGGUUAGUGAGUAUCGGCUUUGAACUAGUCAUAAUCAAAAUCACCCCCUAGGAAUAGAGAAUAUAGGUACUGUCCUGUCCUAUAAGACCUUAGCUACUUACUUCAAUACCGUAUCUUAUAAGAAUUCACUCAGCUACCAAAGGUCAAAACACAGCAAUAGAAGAAUCCAAGUAGAAACUGGCAAUCGAACACUGCCUAACAGACUAAAAGAAGAAGAGGAGGGGCCAAGCAACUGUUGCAUAUGACCAAUCUUCUGCAUAACUGGAUUAAUGCGGGGUUUGCUUUAAGUGAUAGAGUAUAGUUAGUCUGAAAUAAAUCAUAUAGAGAUAUAAAGAAAUAAAUCAUAUAGAGAUAUAAAAAACAAAAACGAUUGAAAAACGUAAGGCUGCUCGUCUGCCCAGACUUCCUCGGUAUGUAUUCUUUUGGGGCUCCCCGAGAAGUAAAGCACUGUAGAGCUCACAGCCCCCCCAUUAAUUUGGAAGAUAACAUCCUAACUGACUUUUUGUGAGACUCCCUCUGAGGAAUCACUGCUUGUGGUGGCGGUUACCCACUCUGAGGGCUGCCAUCUCUCACAUUCCUGCGUAUAUGAGACACUUAUGGAGUUAGACACUCCGAAACCACUAAUAUAGGCUUGAAGUGGCCAUGAAGCAUAAUAUGACACCUCCGCUUCCUGCAGAUUUCUCAUAUGAUUUACAGCUUGAUUCGUACCUAUAUGUUCCCAGUGAUGGGAGGUCUCGAAGUGCUUUUGCUGAAGCACUCCUAUAGUGAAGGGACGGUGCAGCUUAGCAAAGGUAUUGAACUGUUCCCAACGCACCUGUUGAUCCCUUAUACUUUCUAUGAGAUUUUUGGAUUGGGGCUUCAAGGGUAAAAAAACCAAAUGUAGGAAGAAGUAUUUCUCUUUCCAUUCAUCUAUGGUAUAUUCUGCAGGCUUUCAGCUCCUUGCUUUUAGGUAGUCGGAAAUUCUGUCUUGUAAGUGGCUUUCUCUGUCUUUUUGAAUACGCAUAUCCUCGAAUACAGACCGUACGGAGUUGUAGGAGGAUAGAAUGGUUUUUGAAACCCCGGGAUCCUCAUAUACCCGAUACCACUCAUCAAAGCUCUUCAGCUUACUUAUGAUUACUUGGCUUCUGCGGGGCAACCGCUUAUGGGACUCUUGUGCUUUUACAGUCUCCCGUAUUUUACUUAGAGUUUGGCUACCCCAAAUAUAUAGAUCCUUAUCCUCUUUGAGCAGGUAUUUACAAAUAGAGGUCCAUGCCUUGUAGAAGGAGAGGUUUCACUGGGCCCCUUCAAACAAAGGGAGGAUUUAUAUAAAGAGGCGGGGGGCACCUUUUCAAAUAGGCCUCUCUCAAGUAAAAGACCUAUAUGAAAGUGAUUACCCUCUUGUUGAUGCUGCUCCCUCGCUACAGCUAUGGUAAUACAAUCGUGGAUUUUUGCACUUCUGCGCUCUACAAUUUCUGCUUUAUCUAUGGAUGCUCUUAGCUCAUUAGCGUCUGCUCGGGCUAGAGUCAAUAAAAUCUAUUUCCUCAAGUUUCGAUUAUUGAUAAAGAAGGUAUUUUCUUUAUUCAUCGUACUUCAGCUACUCUUGUAUGCUGGUGAUACCACGGAUUUGACCCUCUAAAAAGAGAGUUCCUCGUUGCUUCGGACUAGUUGCUACUUAGUUUCAUUCUGACUUGACUACUUUCGAGGAUAGGUCUGCAAGGGAAUAAGUAGUUGCCAGAGGUGGAUUAGCGGUCAUAAACCGGUGAAGGGCUGAUUCAAGUUCCAUUACUGUAGUUGGCGCAAGUGAGGGAGCUGAUCUUACAGAGAGAGCUGAUCUUAUAGAUGAAACAAUAACUUCCUUUGAGACUUGAACUGAAACUCUAGCCACUGAGUCUGUGCCUGAACUGUCUUCUGGAACUGGAACUGGUGAAGAUCUUUCUGCCCUUGCCCGAGUUUCAUCUUUCUCGACUACUAAGGUAAAUCACCUCUCUUCUUUAUAGAAUGGAAAAGAGUUGGAGUUGAAUUCUUUGGCUACUUAGGCAUUUCUGACUUUGCCUACUCAGCGCAAUUCUAAUUCAGAUAUCGGAUGCGUAGGAUUUGGUCAUAUAAGUAAUUAAGUAAAGGGAAUAAACUGGAGCUUAUGGAACUCCGGCACAGGAACUGAAAGAGAAAGGUGCAAUUCAAACGGAAACUCUCGGGUGUUUGACUGAAAAGGUUAGACAACUUAUUUCGGUUCAUAAAGUGGAGACUCUGUAUCAGGAGUUUUCUCUUUAUCUGAAGCUUAUUAAUUGCCUGUUCGAGUGUUGUGUCUACUUGCAGUGCUAUCAUUUACUCAAUCAGAAGCGGGAGAGUUAGUGACCUAUUCUAUCUCAAGGGUAAGUGACCUAUUCUAUCUGCGGUAAGAGAGUGAAUUUGUAAAGAGGAAAUUCGAAACUAGAUGCUUAGGAGUAAAAGAGUCAUGUAUUUGUACUAGUAGAUGUAGUGGAGUGGUAGGUUGAAAGCCCAGAGCUAAGUAGUGAAGUGGAAUUUGUUUCAUCCCGGUAGUGGUAGUGACUUCUAGUAGUAGUAGUACAGCUCCAGUUCCGGUAUUUUAGUUACAUGCCUAUAAGGGAAGCAGUGUUGAGUAUAGACCCACCAGGUAAUAGUGGGUUCCAUACGAUCUCGGUGUUGCGGGUAAUAAAGUGUAGAGUCUAGAGUGAGUGGUUCAUAAAGUGUAGUUCUAGCAUUGUCUGCGGGAGAGAAAGAAUCAACGAGUAAAGGCUAGGCUUUGAGGCCAGAUCUACUUCAUAUGAGUAUCUUUGCUUUGUGUUCGAGGUGAAGAGUAGAGAUCUUAUCCUUCUGAAAGAAUGCCCACUACAUACUUAAGCUGUGCGAGGAGAGGUCGACAAGAGAAUCAUAAGGAUCAGAAGACACAUAAGGAUCAGUGCCAAAGUAAGCUGCUGUGAGAGUUUCAUCCUAUAGAUAAUCAGAGGUUAUAACACUUAGCGAGUUUCAACCUGCAGUUUCAAGUAGAGUCCGUUCGGUAAAAGAACCUGAUCGGGAAGAUUAUAGUCAAAAUGCACCAUCAGAGCGGGGAGGGUACCUUAAUGUACAAAUUGCCAUAAUCAAAGUUUCCAGAGGUUCAAACUUAGCAAAAAAGGCGUAUACUUAAGUCUCUGUAAGGGAGUUAUCGGAUAGCCCACGUAACCAUAUCUUCUAGCUUCUUAUUCUUAUGAUUCUGCGCCAAGAUCCUCCGUUUCUGCCUUCCAAUCUUUUCUUUUCCUGGUGGACUCUAAGCUCUCAAUGUGGCCUGGAAUGCUGGGUUAAGGUCAGAAUAUAUUCCUUCUUCCGCUUCAGUAUCAGGUAAAGAAGAAACCUUAUCUUGUAGCUUCUCUAGCUUCCUCCCCUGCUCUAAGGAAUUCAGAAUGCAAGGGAGUUGACCCUAGCCUAGACGAAACUACCGCUAUCGCUAUAAUUACUAGCUCUCGCUGCCAAUGACAUGAUAACCUCUCCGCUAAUAACCUCUUAUCUUGGAUACUUUCCCGAUUCUUUACCUGCAGAAGAUCUGUCCACUUAUGAUUCUGGAACAAUACUUUCAUCUGAUCAAUCCUAUUAUGAUGAUUACCUACCCGGGUUCUAUACACCACUGUUAACAAGGCUAUAGUUCGAAACCGGUAAUCCAACUACUACUACCGGCCUCAAAGCUGCCCUGCCUAGCUUUGAAACUAAAACCUAUACUUAUGGGGAUGGAAUCACUACUAACAGGACUUCCUUUAGUGUCAACAAUACUGUUACUACUAACUGGGAAUACAAAUACUACAAAAAAGGUCUGUGCCAUCGGCAGCUAAAGCAGCCCUUGCUUCCUGCCCUGUUACUACUCGAUCUCGGGCUAACUACCUUGACUUUUAGGCUGACUUCUUUACUUAAUUCCUCUCAUUAAUAGCUUCACUCUUUUCCUUGCUUUCCAACUUCAAAUACCCAUGAGCAAUUGCUAACCUGUCCUGCCCUUCUUUCACUCUUACACUGCUUUAUCUAAUUCUGACUAACUAAUGCACAACGACGACUACUCUAACUUAUGUAAUAUGCACUAUAUUAUUCAUAAGCUGUGAUUUCUGACUAAAUGACUUCUAUCAUAUAUGCACAUACGAGCUACAAUACUAAUAUGAAAAGGGGAAUGGAACACCCCACACCUAGAUUGAACUAGCGCUUUUGAUUCUGCAACCACUAUAUGGCAUCCCUACUAUCUUAUCCAUUAGUCUGCCCUGGCUUACUUUCAUUAUUUCACUGAUGGCCUAGAACCCUGCCCCCUACCCUUAGCCUCACACGACUCGCUUUUAGUAGUCAACUCCCUUCUCUCACCCUUACUCCUAUUGUCUCCAUGCCUAUAUGAGAGUGCUAGUCCGCUACUCCUCUCUUAAGGAAUCCCAUUAAUUAGUAUAAGAAUGUGAAGCGUAACUCCACUCUAAAGAAGUCAACUAACUAGUAUGAUAUUGAUUUCUAGUUAUUAUCGAGUAAUGUACUUGGUGGUUAUUGGUAGUUAUUCCCGAGUUCUGUAUUUGACAAACACAACAGCCCUAUUCUCUGUAGUUCGAGAGAUGAUCUGGCUUAGACUCCACCAAGCUACUACCAUACCACUCCACAGCUAACUUUAAUCAGACUAAAACCUACGAGCGGCGAGCAGGACAAUCAGUAUAGCUUUUCGAAAGAGAAAGAGAGUAGCCAUGUAGAAUAUGAUCCAAUCCACUAAUAUAAUGGAAAUGAUCUAAUCCAAUCCACUAAUAUAAUGGAAAUGAUCUAAUAUAAUGGAAUAUGUAGUCAUCCACUAAACUCCCUUCUCUCAUGAUUAUUGAAUAGCAUUUAAUAGCGUGCCGACAUUCUUGUGGGUAGCUUGCUUCGGGGGUUAUAUAGUGACCGGGUACCUGUACUAACAAUCCAAAUUCGAUUCCUUAUUUCUGUGCCUCUCUCAACCGACCCCAAGCAUGAAAGGCGAUUCUGAAAGUGUAGUUAUCAAGGCAGCAGUUAUUGGAGUCAAAGAAGAAAGUAGUGAGUCAGCAGAACUAGCAUCGGUCAUAAUUCUUGUAGCGGAUCAGGUGCAGGCCAUUCUUCUGCUUUGAUUUACACCGCUCCUCACUUUCGAACAGAGCUUGCUGGUUCCCUUGCGAGUUAAGAAAGUCUUUGCUUGUUACACCCCUAACUCCUACGCUCUGAACUUGCAGACCCAAUUGCAGACCCAAUUGCAGCCCAACACGGCUCCGCUCCUGAGCAUGAUAAAAGAGAUGAGGCUGAAACGGAAAGUCAAACAGUCAAAUAAACACGGACUGGUUUCGCAACUCGAUCUCGAAAGUAAUAAAUUCACAGCUAGAUGAGACUCAAACUCCCGGCUUUCUACCUUAACUACAGGCUAUCAAACAUAGAGACUUCUAUAUGCAUUCCUUACAGGUUAAAGGGGCUCCUAAACUUUAGACGAGACCUUCGAGCACAACUACAGUCGGACCUGCGCUCAGUCAACUAAUACUCACUUUACGGACGUUGCUUCAUUUCCCUUACCGCUCUGCUCCGGGGCGUGGGCAUUCAACAGAGAUUCGACUUCGGCUUCUUUCGGGAGCUCAACUAAGUAUGUAUAUAGUAACAGUAUGAGUCUAAGAAUCGGAAUAGUAUAAGAAUAAUAGAAUCGGAAUAAUAUAAGAAUAAUAGAAUCGGAAUAGUAUAAGAAUAAGAGGUAAAGGUAUGGAAUUGGAAUUAGGCCCUUAUAAUAAUUGCUAGCGGAUUCUAAUAAGUUGGAGUUGCGCCUUUAUUAGUACAGGUCACACUAUCCUCGGAGGAAAUCAUCUGGCUUAUUUAAAGAAAGCGGUUUUCGAAUUUGAUAACUGAAGUGCGGGGGCCUGCUUAUGCAGAUCUCUCUGUGGUCGGGAAUGCUAUCUUAAUCGAGGUGCCAGUCAGGAAUGAAUGCUCUCUCGGAAGUAGAAGAGCACUUUUCUUAAGAGGCUAGGCUUAGUUUGGUUGCUGUUCACUUAUGGACGGCUCCUAAACAUGCUUGCUGUUCUUUUAUUCUCCCUGACUCGGAAUCAAUUGCCUUGAUUACCAAAGCUUUUUAUGCUUUGACACCCACUUCCUUUCUUUCUCCCCUAAUAUAAUAUGCCUAUGUUUUCUUUUUGACGAAGCUUCAAGCCAGAUCAGCUCCUAUCUGGAUUUCAUAAUACCCCGUGCUGCCCAAUCACGCUGUAUAUCUUAGCUCGAAUCGAUCUCAUUCUAUAGAGGACCUACUUUAUAUCUUAGCUCGAAUCGAUCGAUCUCAUUCUAUAGAGGACCCAUCCUUACACGGAUAGGAAAGAAACCACCCCAAUGCUUUAAAUGUUAUUUGGCCUUACUGAACUGUAGGAACGGCAAAGAGCAAUUCUUUCUAUAAUUGAUAUCGGGCCUUCAUCCGUUUGAAGCAAGACGCCAAAUCCUUCAUAGUUCUUAGCACGACAUGCCACUGUCUAAAUGAGGUAAACUCUUCCAGAGGUUCGUUUUCUCGAGCCAACCUCGGCUUAUCUCAGUGAAAAAAGAAAAGCUUCCCCCACAGAUAUGACGAUGCUAUCAAUUUGAUAUUGAUAGAAUAGAAUCGUUGUCCAAAAUUCGUCCAGUUAUGGUCUUUCCAAUUCCAAUGCAAGCCCAUCUCACCUGCUAUAGCAUUAUAGGUAAAAGAGAAUAAGUACGGCUCCUAGCGCUUUCAUCGUGGAACCGAGAUUGAUUCGAUAAAGAAAGACCAGUGGUUCCCCAGACUCUCAAUUAAGAAUUCACAUCCGGGGGGAAAAAGCGCCUUCUAAACCCGUGGUAGAGGUGGAGCUCACAUAUAGUCUGAUUCUCAAACCUAUGAUGGAUAGGUUUUACUAGUAUCCAGUCCAACUUGCUUGUAUUAAGCAUAACGCUCUCUCUUCUUCUACUCUAAAGAUGGAUCUUUUCUCUUGUUUAAGAAGUGACGUUUGCUCCUAUCGUAGAUAAGAUAAGAGUUAAGGAAUUGAUAUAGCUGAAUCCAAUCCCCUAGCUAGGUUUGAGUUUGAAAGAAGAACUUCAAUUUGAGAGAAAAUCUGGCAAUAGCUCUAGGGCAGGUUCGUCCUUUAGCUUACGUCAAGCAUUUCCCAUCCUAAUACCACUUGUCACCUUACUACCGACCCCCUAGUAUGAUUUUUCUGAGGAUAGGUUCAAUUUGGCAAUUUCGUUCUUGCUCGCCUGAUAGUAAGUGGUUAAAUGGCUGUGGCAUGAAUAAGUUGGCCUUGAUUGCUAGGUUUUCCGCUCGUGCUUUGAUAACGUUAAAAGGUAUGCUGCGGGUAAAAUCCAUGUUCAAAGGAAGCAGAUGGGUAAUAUAGCUAAGUUAAGCUACGUUGUCAUCAGUCUAAGGGGAGGCAAGCGAAGGUGAGAUGGAAUAUAGAAGGGCCUGUCGAGGCAGAUAUGAGAUCUCUGGCCUGUCCCAGGAAAGUAGGUUAUUGCCUGUAGUGAUUACUGUCCUCAAGGUCUAAUCCAUGGUGAAUACGUAAUUCGAUCUCCGGGAAGGAAAGAAGGAUCCUUGCCUACUAUAGAAGCUAAGGUAUGAGUUAAAGCAAGAAGGCAUAGCUAUAGGUUAAAAGAAUACCGAAUUGAUGAAGCCAGCCGAAAGAACUCUAUUAUUAAGGGAAGUAAAGGAGAGGCCCUUAUAGUAAGUUGCGGAGUCCUGUGAUAGGAUCCUUAAAGUAGUGGUCCAAAGAGAGUCAAAUGGACGGAAACCCUCCACAGGAAAAAAAGGGAAACAAAGCUUGCACUCUCCGGGCAAGGAAAUCUGAUCAUAGCUAUAUGUAACUGACCUCAACACGACAUUUGGCAGGCAAGACUAUACGCGAAUCAACUUUCGAAGGGAAGGAAGGAAUACUGGUGGUCUCGUCUCGGUCAAAGAAAUGCGAUCAUCGCGCCCUUGACUCAUCUUCUCCGGGCAGCGGAUACUUCAAAUAGUGUGAAAGAGGUGGGUAAGCAGGCAUUGAUAGGAUAUGAUAGUCCUUUAUGAGCCAGUCGAUGGUUAACGAACCGGGUAAUCUAGUCCGCAUUUCUAGCAUAGAAGAUGGCUCUCGUCCUUGUCUUUGAGAAGAGAACUUGUUUAAAAAGACACUCAUUCGAAAAGAACAGAACUUCACUUGUCUUUGAGAGGAGAAGGAUCAACUUGAGAGAAAGCUCCAUAUCUAACUAUUGUGGAAAGUCGAUAAAGUAUAAAGUAAGGUUUUGUAAAGCGACGAAGAGCUGAUCUGUACUUUGAGUAUCGUUAAGAAGUCUCUGUCCAUGUCAGGAUCAGGAGCAAUCUAUCGAAGUGAAAAGACAAGAGGUGAAAAGAAAACAGCACGGAAUAAGUCUCGGAAAAGCAUUCCCUACUCUCAAAAGUCAAGAUGAAGCGACAGAACAAGCUGAAAACUGUUAACCUAAGCGCUUACGUGAGUUCCAGAAACAAGCAACAGCAAAGUAGAAACUUCUUAAUUACAAGAUUAUGUCCGUUUUGAAAGAAGCUGCUAACGUAAGUAAUAGGUUUCGAGUGGAAAUAGAGUCAUCGGGAGUAGUUAAUCGCUACCUUGUUGCAAAUGGUAGGUAAGUACGAACCACUUGUUUAGUAUACGCUUGUGUAGUUUCCUCGGCGCAUUAGGAAGUUGUAAAAGUGAACUACGGGGUCUCUUUUCUAGCUUAAAGAGAGUAAGGCAAGUAAUAUAGUAAAGGGCUCUGGGGGUACGAGUAUUGUCUAGUGGUUACUUGGCGCCUGCUUGCCUGAUAGCCUACGUAGCUUGUCUUCUUGGUGGACUUAAUCAUAACUCUUACUAACUAAGUUAACGCGUUUUACAAAGCUUGUUUGUUUGCUUCUUUAUAAAGGAAUAGUGGUUGACUAUGUGGUGAUAUAAUUGAUUAACGGUUGAGCAUUGCCUAUGCAUCGCUUACCCGAAUUCAUCGUUAGUGAGCUGGCAGGUUAGGAAUAGCCAGUAAGUGGGACCAUUUGGAAGCAGUGCGAAAUAAAGGUGUUUGGGAAGCGGGAAUAUAAUAAAACAGUGGAUUUCCUACAAUUUCAAUUGAACAGAGCUUCAACUUAGAGAAAUCUGUCUUCUUACACUUCUAGCCUUUUGCUUCUUAUGGGCUUCAUAACCGAGUUAGUUGUGGUCCAAGUCUUGUAUGGGCUUCAUAACCGAGUUAGUUGUGGUCCAAGUCAAGUCCCUUUAUCAGUGAAUUCGUUUUUAAGCAAAAGAAAAGCCAAGAGCUGCUCUGUCUUUACCAACUUCAUUCUAUACCCCAUGUGCUUGAGAGUCCAGUUUCAAUUCAACAGGGCGCUGAAAGGAUUCAAUUAAUUCUUCUUAACUUCAAUACGAGGUCGGAAAGAUAUAAUCAACAGUUACAAGAGAAUCAGCUGUGUUGGCCGACUACACUCUGUUAGCGCAAGUAAGUCAAAGAUGCAAAUGCUAUUAAGUAUAGAAAAUGGGAAUAUUCACCCUCCUGAUAUACUCGGAGCAAGAUACAAGUCCAGGUCCAGGCCCAAAACAAGAGUACUCUGUCUAAGGGAGCAAGUUUAGGAAGAAUCAUCAGAAUCCAAUACUGGUUCUUGUGCCGCUGUAGCUACUUGUCGGCCUGUUCCAGUUCUAAGAUCAUCUGCAGGAGAAUAGCCAGAUUGUCUGUAUCUUUCUGUGAGAUAAGUCGGAUCUGGUAAGUAAGCGGGUAAAGAAUAAGUCAAGAGUGGAAUUAGAAGCGAGUCCUGUGUUCGUGAGCUUAAGUCUCCUUUCCUCAAUUCCUAUUAGAUAGGUAGGCGGGCGAGUUAGAUGAGAUGGAUGCGCCAGAGGUAUUCUAUAGGAGAGGAGCUAGAAAGAUGUUAGGCAGAAAUGACUUCUAAGGCCUGUUGAUUAGUUUCAUCAGUAGGUGUUGGCAGUUCAACAACAAGUCGAGGUCGAGGAAGACCUUUGCACCCGUUGCUUGUUCGUUAGUUGAUGGACUUGUUUCUUUCAAAUACAGAUAGAUUAUUAGCUAUUUCACCUUAUCCUUAUACGAUACGCGAACUCGCUUCCACUGGCAAACAACGUUAGUACAGAGGAUUUCAGACAGUUGCUCUACCCAGGACAGCUUCUUUCUAGGCGCCAUACCGAACUCGACACUCAGUUCAUCAUGUCAUUGCCUCUGAUCUUGCCUCUGCCCUGGCUCUUUGACUACUUAGUUCCAUCCUUAGUCUACGGAUUUCUAUUCUUCUUCUGUUACUACCACUACUGAGUUGCCGGCUAACUGGUACUCUUACUUAAGAGAACUACUUGAAACUACUAGCUUUCCUACUUGACUACCUCCACUAAAGCUUGCUUCCUUGCCUCCUACCAAGUCUUGUGUUCGGGUGCCGAAGAGCUUAGACGAAAUAGGUAUAUUACUUAUUAUGAGUGACAUUCCGAUUGGCGGUAUUUAAAGAGGGAAGAGCCUAGCGCUAUAAGGAAAGGAUGCUAGGGCGUAUAGUCAGAGUGAAGCUACGUAGUCAGACUUAUAUGAAGGAGUGUUAGAGACAAACAGGGCUGUAAGGUCAGUAAUAUCCGUUUUGGGGUUUUUAUUGGCAGUUUUUAAGAAGCAAGUAUAAGGCUAGGCUAACAAUAGAGCAUGGGAUCUGGUUUACCGCUUUUCUUCUUUUACAAAUAUUGGUUUACUGCUUUUCUUCUUUUACUAUUAAGUCAUCUUCCUACCAUUCGGAGGCUUAUAGCUCCAAUACAGCAUUAGUCAACUUCUUUUCUUUGGGUCAGUCAGGGAAUAGUAUGUGUUACGCAUCAAUAUGUGUAGCGCGUUGGAAAUUACAAAACUCAAUUAAUAAUAUAAUGGAUAAGAGUAGAACGGAGUUGAGCUAGCCCUUGCUGGUUGAAUGGAAUUGGAUUCUUCUGAUGAUCUUGUCGGCUUCCCGCGCUUCCUUUUGAAUCUAGCUCUCUUGAGUUUCCCCUUUCUUUUGCUUUUGAGUGAGCUUGCUUAUUACAACAAAUUCUUCGUUUUUCUAGCGUUUCUGUGUUCUCUUCUCCACCUUUUAUUCUUGCUCCAAUUCGGGAAUAAAUCCGUUUUUCAUUAAGGAUUUUUGGUUCUUCUUUGAAACUCUCUCUUUCAUCGACGUAGUAUAAGGAAUAGUCAGGAUAUCUGGAAUGAAACUAAGUUGUCAAAGAAUGGGUUUUUUGAUAGGUCCGAAUGAAACUCUGCAGUCAGGAUACCGAGAUACUCCGGGUGAGGAUACUAGUACUUACUAGGGGAAUGUACACCAUCAAGUCAUAAUUGACUAGUGAAUAAUCGGAAUCGAAAACUAGGUGAUACAGGAGAACCGGGGUGCUAUGAUAGAACCAAACUCAGUAGUCCAAGAUUUUCACUCCGUUUUAAUCAAACUAACAAGCGGGGAAUCCAACGAGAAAGUAAGGCUACUAAUACAAUAACAUAAAAUCAAGAGUUCAACUAAGUAUUAUCAGAAUGGUAGCUCUAUAUGGAGGGGGCAGAAUAUAACCCCAUAAGCCAGGAUCAAACAAGUGAGUAAAGGAAAGUAACCUAACAAGCCAGAAUGCAAGAGGGGAGCGUAAGGUUUUCAGUUUGAAUUCCACGAGAAGGUUCAGGAUACUAAACAAAUCUCCGAGCUAUAAGACUAAAAGGAAGGAAUCGCAGGAAUGAAUCUCAAGCAAUAGACACUAAACCUCGACCAGUUUUUUGGUGCGGUAACUUAGUUUCAUGUUGCAAUGCGGCACAGAGAUGAACAAUAAGAUAGAUAAUGGACUUUACGCGUAGAGAGAAGACUCGGGAAAUCCUUAUUGUUGAGUUAGUUUCAUUAAAGAAUGCGCUUAACAACUUUCAUUUUCAUAAUCAAGUUUCUGUCGACGCUCGAAGUGUGUUUGUGCCAUGCCAUACUCCGUUUUUCAAUCAAAUAGAAGAGCUAUCGUUCAAUGAAAAAAGAUUGUUUUUUCUCAAAAGUAGAAUAACUAGAUCCCUUGUUUAAGCCUCGGAAGUGGGAUGGAAGUCCUAGAAUCAAAGACAGAAAUAGGAACCCAAACACUGAUACCAAGACAACAACCAUUAGAUACUAGGAUCGAACUAAGUAAACCGAGCCUUACUACUCGAAUAACACAGGCCAAGCAACGCCCUAUUCUAUGUCCCAGCGGACCAAGCCCUACUACUCGCACCAGAUGCCACGCCUUACUGAUCUAGGUACAUCCCAAGCCUUACUCGCCAGUGGACCAACAACAAAUUCGGGUAGUCAAUCUUACGCUCACUAACUUUGACUAUAUUACUAUUCAUAAUGGAACUGGGGACCAAGCUUUUCUACUAUUAAUAAAGAAGCGAACUACAACUGAUGAGAAUAGAAUCAAUGAAACAAAGCUUUCACUUAUAAAUAGGGCUCCCUUACUGUCUCUGAAACUUAUACUAAUCUAACGCCCGGCAUUCCUUCCUUUGAGCUUUGGUCUGCCCUUACUUGCUUUGAAACUAACUACCCGGGGGCUACAUGAGAAAACUAAGAAAAAGCAAUCGUACAUUAACCCUAAGAAUUGAACCACUACGGAUAACACUGCCAAUAAGCCUGCUCCCUACUACCUUAAAGCAAGCCUUGCUUUGCUACAUACGAGGCUGCCCUACCUUGCUUCGCUCUGUCACUAAUGCUUAGAAUACUUACUCCCAGGGGGCGCGCGCCUUUUAUUCAUGAAAUAUCGAUCCGGGGCAAUACAUCCGAUGGAGCACAAACCUUGAAAACUAUAUAUCCUUGCUUUCAUUCUGCAGUGAGUACUUUUCGUACUUUCUUCUUAAUAUAAAGAAAUCCACAGUGCCUAACUACUUUAACUACUAAUGAAAAGGCUCGAACUGGGGUAGGCCCAAGCUUUCCUCUUGACUCUCUAUAGCCCGCUCCCAACUCCAAUAGCGCCGACACCUUAUUUCACCUUGAAUGCCUUUGCUUUUAGUCUGACUUUCUGAAAUCUCAUUCUACUCUCCUUGCUUUCAGUCCUUAGCUACCAACUCUCAGAUCUCAACAACUACUGGAAAGAAUGCAACAGGUGCUUCUCGUACUAUAACUCGAAUUGGGGAAAGCGACUCCUACUUAUAAUACUUAUACAGCAACUUGCAAGGCUACUACCACUACUUCUUCGAAUGGCACUAAUGCUUUUUAGGCAAUAGCUGCUGAUCCAUAUCUUUUAUCUUCUCAUAGGGAAUCGAACACUACCUAAGGCUAGGGCUUAUAAGGCUUUAACUAUAACGAAGCAGUCUGUCGCUACUACUAUUGCCGAAGCAGUCUGUCGCUACUACUAUUGACUAUUUGGAUGCUACUAGGCUAUUAGAAUCAGCUACUACCUAAUGGAAUGGAACUGGGAAUAAAAGAAUGCGCCUACUACCUAUAAGAUUGAAAAAGGCAACUAGCAAUUCCACUCAUAAGUAAGAGGAUGGAAUCACUGCUUAAAAGCCUUAUACUAUAGCAUAUGAGUAUGUCUCUCUUGACUUUCAAACUCAACAAAGUGCCCACCAAUACUUAUCUUCUUCUCAUAUAUAAUUCAAUAAGUGCUCAUAAAAGAAUUGAGCCCCUACUGAAAAGAAUGGAACUGGUGCUGAUAAGAAUCCAACUGGGCAUACUGGAUAUGGGUAGUGGAGCAUAGAACCAAACAAAGGUGUAUAAGAAGGGGAUUAGUUAGCAGAGAUCAGAAUUCCAAUAAGUGGUCAAAGAAUUGCUUAUGAGGGCUGUAAGACAUAAUGAAGUGUGUCAGUGUACAAGAAUCGAACGCUGUAUAAGUGAUAUCGGGAAUACAGAAUAUGGGUCGCUAGUCUCCGCUUUGCACUUUAGUAAUAGCAAGGUGCUAAGAGCCUAGGAAUCUAGAAUAUAAGUAAUUAGUCCAAGAUUUUCACUAAGACAUAAGAAGCAAACAAACAAGUAGGAAUUUAUGAAUUAACUCCGGGCGUGGUAGGUUGGAAUUUCACUCGUGCUGACAAGAGAACAAUUUCGAAAUCAAUAUUGGAACACACCCCAUAAAGAAUUGCACUAAUAAUCCGGAAUGAAAGGCAGGAUAGUAAGACUAAAGGCAAAGAACGGAAGGGACAACUAAAAGAAUAAGAUAAAAGAGUGGCCGGGCUAACUCUCUCACAUAAGAAUUUCAGAUGGUAGCGGAAGUAAUGAUUUCUCCCUCCUCACUCUCUAACACAGGAAUGCCCGGCAUUAGUGGCAUACCCAAACUCAUACAUGGGGCCUCAAGUCACUAAAAUACAGGCAAGCGACAAAGCUGCUAACGACUCUCUAACUCGAACUAAGUAGAGUACUUUUUCAUUCUUUGCUACAGUUCAGUAAUUCUUAUUUCAUACUUGGAUCAUUCUUUAAUCAUAAGAAGAUGUAUCCUGACUUCUGUGUUGAAUUCCCAUACUCAUAUGUUUCACUCUGAUAUCGCUUAGUUCAAUAAUGCAAGGUACAAUUAGAAGAUAGAACCAAAGAAGGGAGUGUCGGUUUUAACCAAGGAGUGGGCAAGCGGGAAUGAAAGCACGGGCAAGCUACUGUUCUCGGGGCCUGGCAAUGAGAAUGGAAGAAUGACUCCUUAACUAAAGCAGCGCUGCGGUGAAUGUUCGUAGGUUAAUGCGAGAAACCUUAGGAACGAAACAACCCUGCCUAUAUUGCUUGUAUCAAUAGCACAUAGGUAUCAAUGGUGUCUCAAUGGCAUAGGUAGCAAUGAACACCACUAUAUAUUGCGUGUAUCAAUAGCACAUAGAUAGUAUCAAUACAAUAACAGAGCAGAAUCAAGUUUCCUCUGUGUCAAUUCGAUUCUUAAAGAUGGGUUUCCUCAGUGCUCUUACCUUUUCACCUUCAUUAUUAUAUGACAAUUACCAUCAUUCUAUUGCUAUUACUUAGCUUUGGAACCCGUUAUUCUCUGACUUAGCUUUGGAACCGAUGAUGCAAUUACUUAGCUUCGGAACCCAUUAUGCAAUUACUACAGGCCAGGCAUCCACGGAGCGGUCACACACCACAUCUUACAUUAGGGACAUAUAUCGAAGGUACCUUGCACAGUAGUCAAUACAGAAUGAAAGCGGAGGAAACCAGUAUGGAACACCGACACAAGCAUACCUACCCAUGGGAUAAACAUACCAUAGUACCCACCACAUACCCAAGGGAGAAACAAACACACAUGCGCUAUAGCUCCCAUGCAACCACAUACUCUUCAAGUAGCACUACAAUUUCUUCAUUUGGCAUAGCUCAUUCUUUCAUUUAAGUAAACAUAGCUCAGCCUACCUCAACUCAAGGUAACGUCAACAAGUCUUUCGCUUGUUGGUUCGAUGCCCAGUAAUAGCGGGUACCUCGUUAAUUCAUAGGUAGGUGGUUGGUGCACUCUCAAAUGCUUUUAGGGACCAUCAAUAGUUAAGUAGACACUGCUUUCGAGUUGGGCAAUGCAGACUUGAGGCAGGGAGUAAUAGAAUGAGACCCCUUAGAGGCAGUAAAACUAGGCAAGUAAGGAGUCAGGUUCAGUAACAAUAGUCCUAAAAGCAGUGGAGCAGGCCUAUAAUACAGUUUAGUCUGACUAGUAGCUGGGGUUGGUGAAGAAGUAAUGUUUAGGGUUGAUUGCCUCUAUGCGCUAUUGCCGGUAAGUCGGCGUAUUUUGUAUUAUAAGUUAGAUUAUGAGAAGCACUGGUUUGAUUAUGAGGGGAUCCCCUAGGAUUUUGUUCUUUAUUGACUACUUGGUAUGGUAGCGGCUCUCCGUGGGCUAAUAAAGAACCUAAGUGGUUGGAUGCCCUGCCCCCAGCUCAAGUCUUAUUGUUAGUGGUUCUCUUCCUGGUGCGCUAGUGAAGGUCCUGUCCAGUUUGCCUGGUUUCUAUCGUUUUAUGCCUUAGUUCCAUUCCAUUAAGUAAUAGCUCUAUUCUGGUUUUCCCGGGUGCAAUUCUUUGUAUUAGUUGCAGGGAUGCGCUAGAGCGUAGCCAUAUUCUGAUUCCUCCGUUCGAAAGUCAAUAAAAGCAAGUAAAGAAACCCCGAGUCAUAGUGUGUUUGAAAACGAGGAGCGGAAGCCUCUAACUAACACAUAGGCAUUUCUUUAUGUAUUUCAGUAGCAACUAUAGGAAUUGGAGCUAGGAGACAAAGGCUAAGAGCCUGUAAAGUCAGUCGAAAAGCAAGUGAAGUCAGACUUAAGGGGCUGUCGGAUAAGCCGGAGUUCCUAGUUAAAGCAGUCUUGUCAGCAGUAGUUGUUAUAGGCCCGACUACUGUAAGCUAAUCCCAUAGUGAGUAACUAGGCGGUGGAAGCAAAUCUGAUAGUUGGAGUUAGGCGGGGAAGUGGAAGAAAGGCCUUCCAGAUAGGAUUCUCAAAGAUAGGAACGAGCCUAUCUACUGGUUUCCUUGCACAUGAAAAGGAUGAUUGUACAUCUUCGAGACACAAGAUAUUGAAAGAUUCUCCAUUGUUCUUGAUUUAUGGAAAUAACAUAUCAUAGAUAGAUCUUGUUGAAUAUCAUAGAUGGAUCUUGUUUAUUGCUUGGUGGCUGAUCAUAUCAUAGAUGGAUCUUGUUUAUUGCUUGGUGGCUGAUCAAUGAAUGCGUCUGUCUUUCUCUCAUGAGGGACUUGAGCCCAAUAGUGCUGUUUCGACGGCUAAGUAUCUAUUUGUGGGAAGACCUUAUGUCUCAGGCGCUACGGUGCGAGACGUGUUAUCCGGCAAUGCGCGGUCAGAUCAUUUCUUGGAAGCAAGCAAGGAUCGAGAUAUUCCGCUUUGAUUAGCGAGGCAUCAGUCGGUUUCAUGGUUUCUAUCACUUCCGGAAGUUCAAGAAGAUCUAUCAUCUUUGAUUAUUGGAAUCCUCCUUGGCCAGGCCAGCAACUGAAAAUGCCUGCAACACACUGAUUCGAGUCCUCGAGUUAGCUCAUCUGCUAGUGAGCCUUCUUCUUCUGCAAUAGAUCAGGAACCCCGCCUUUCUUCAGCCCAUGAACUAAGCCGGCCAUUAACAUCGUCCUAAUUUCGUUUGAUCGGUAUUUUCGCUUGUUUUUCAUCGUGACUGGAACGACGAUACAACCUAAACCCUUCUCUGCUACCAAAUCAUAGAUCUUCCAGAGAAGACCAAACCGAAUGAGCUCGCUCGGUUCUCGUCUGAUACUAAAUUCCUUUCAUAGCUGCUAGAUCUCUGAUGAAAUUCCUUUCAUAGCUGCUAGAUCUCUGAUUCAACGGAAUAUACAUUGGACUUUGAUAUGCUCCACCAACUGUAGUAUAUCUUACAGCUCAAAGAAAAAGUGUUAUUAGGGGGGCUUAGGUCGAUCUCCAAAAUAACCUAACUCAACUCGUGGCUGGCUAUAGUAUCUCUUAACAAAGAGUCGAACGAACUUCCUUAUCAUACUCCUAUUUAGGUGCACAUAAGGACUAAGAUUGGUUUGCAGCUUCAAGCAUCAAAUGUAAUAAAGACAGAUAUACUAACACCCACCCCAAGGUACGACUCAUGAGAACAAUGGUCACAACUAAAUCCAAAUAAUUCCAUUCAGCUGUGGGC
Molecule: long non-coding RNA, 26613 nt
Filed under: Musa acuminata (dwarf banana)
Lineage: Eukaryota; Viridiplantae; Streptophyta; Magnoliopsida; Zingiberales; Musaceae
Description: long non-coding RNA (MACU_LNC008400)
Source: RNAcentral